RNAcentral lists this ribosomal RNA (253 nucleotides) under uncultured bacterium. RNAcentral describes it as "partial 16S ribosomal RNA". It matches the Rfam family "Bacterial small subunit ribosomal RNA", at positions 524 to 776 of the family's 1533-position model. The record is from RNAcentral.
UACGAAGGGUGCAAGCGUUACUCGGAAUUACUGGGCGUAAAGCGUGCGUAGGUGGUUUGUUAAGUCUGAUGUGAAAGCCCAGGGCUUAACCCUGGAAGUGCAUUUGAUACUGCAAAGCUUGAGUGUAGGAGAGGUUACUAGAAUUCCUGGUGUAGUGGUGAAAUACGUAGAUAUCAGGAGGAAUACCGGAGGCGAAGGCGGGUAACUGGCCUAACACUGACACUCAGACCCGAAAGCGUGGGGAUCAAACAGG